GACGAACCGUGCGAACGUUGUUCGGAAUUACUGGGCGUAAAGGGCGCGUAGGCGGCCUUCUAAGUCGAACGUGAAAUCCCCGGGCUCAACCCGGGAACUGCGUCCGAUACUGGAAGGCUUGAAUCCGGGAGAGGGAUGCGGAAUUCCAGGUGUAGCGGUGAAAUGCGUAGAUAUCUGGAGGAACACCGGUGGCGAAGGCGGCAUCCUGGACCGGCAUUGACGCUGAGGCGCGAAAGCCAGGGGAGCAAACGGG
This 253-nucleotide ribosomal RNA is filed under the name uncultured bacterium. Its description in RNAcentral is "partial 16S ribosomal RNA". It matches the Rfam family "Bacterial small subunit ribosomal RNA", at positions 524 to 776 of the family's 1533-position model. The record is from RNAcentral.